This 379-nucleotide ribosomal RNA is filed under the name uncultured bacterium. RNAcentral describes it as "bacterial SSU rRNA". It matches the Rfam family "Bacterial small subunit ribosomal RNA", at positions 28 to 408 of the family's 1533-position model. The record is from RNAcentral.
GACGAACGCUGGCGGCGUGCUUAACACAUGCAAGUCGAGCGGUAAGGCCCUUUCGGGGGUACACGAGCGGCGAACGGGUGAGUAACACGUGGGUGACCUGCCCUCAGCUCUGGGAUAAGCCUGGGAAACCGGGUCUAAUACUGGAUAUGACUCCAUGACGCAUGUUGUGGGGUGGAAAGCCUUGUGCGGCUGAGGAUGGGCCCGCGGCCUAUCAGCUUGUUGGUGGGGGAUGGCCUACCAAGGCGACGACGGGUAGCCGGCCUGAGAGGGCGACCGGCCACACUGGGACUGAGACACGGCCCAGACUCCUACGGGAGGCAGCAGUGGGGAAUCUUGCGCAAUGGGCGAAAGACCUGACGCAGCGACGCCGCGUGAGGGA